AUACUUACCUGGCAGGGGAGAUACCAUGAUCACGAAGGUGGUUUUCCCAGGGCGAGGCUUAUCCAUUGCACUCCGGAUGUGCUGACCCCUGCGAUUUCCCCAAAUGUGGGAAACUUGACUGCAUAAUUUGUGGUAGUGGGGGACUGCGUUCGCGCUUUCCCCUA
Molecule: small nuclear RNA, 164 nt
Filed under: Ailuropoda melanoleuca (giant panda)
Lineage: Eukaryota; Metazoa; Chordata; Mammalia; Carnivora; Ursidae
Description: U1 spliceosomal RNA (ENSAMEG00000027730.1)
Rfam family: U1 spliceosomal RNA
About the family: U1 is a small nuclear RNA (snRNA) component of the spliceosome (involved in pre-mRNA splicing).
Source: Rfam by way of RNAcentral